GACGAACGCUGACGGUGUGCUUUAGACAUGCAAGUCGAACGCGAAAGCCCUUCGGGGUUAGUAGAGUGGCGAACGGGUGAGUAACACGUGGGCAAUCUGCCCCUCGCAGGGGGACAACCGGAGGAAACUACCGGCUAAUACCCGUACGCUUGUGGGACCGCAUGGUUCCGCAAGGAAAGGUAGCUUCGGCCAUCCGGCGAGGGAUGAGCCCGCGGUGCAUUAGCUAGUUGGUGAGGUAACGGCUCACCAAGGCAACGAUGCAUAGCUGGUCUGAGAGGAUGAUCAGCCACACUGGGACUGAGACACGGCCAGACUCCUACGGGAGGCAGCAGUCGGGAAUCUUGCGCAAUGGGCGAAAGCCUGACGCAGCAACACCGUGUGAGCGACG
This 388-nucleotide ribosomal RNA is filed under the name uncultured bacterium. RNAcentral describes it as "bacterial SSU rRNA". It matches the Rfam family "Bacterial small subunit ribosomal RNA", at positions 28 to 410 of the family's 1533-position model. The record is from RNAcentral.